UACGUAGGGUGCGAGCGUUGUCCGGAAUUACUGGGCGUAAAGAGCUCGUAGGUGGUUUGUCGCGUUGUCCGUGAAGUUCCCUGGCUUAACUGGGGGCGUGCGGGCGAUACGGGCAGACUGGAGUACUGCAGGGGAGACUGGAAUUCCUGGUGUAGCGGUGAAAUGCGCAGAUAUCAGGAGGAACACCGGUGGCGAAGGCGGGUCUCUGGGCCGUUACUGACGCUGAGGAGCGAAAGCGUGGGGAGCGAACAGG
Molecule: ribosomal RNA, 253 nt
Filed under: uncultured bacterium
Lineage: Bacteria
Description: partial 16S ribosomal RNA
Rfam family: Bacterial small subunit ribosomal RNA
Source: RNAcentral